This 93-nucleotide ribosomal RNA is filed under the name Plesiomonas shigelloides. RNAcentral describes it as "partial 23S ribosomal RNA". It matches the Rfam family "Bacterial large subunit ribosomal RNA", at positions 2833 to 2925 of the family's 2925-position model. The record is from RNAcentral. Lineage: Bacteria; Pseudomonadati; Pseudomonadota; Gammaproteobacteria; Enterobacterales; Enterobacteriaceae.
GGUUGUUGGAGACUACGACGUAGAUAGGCAGGGUGUGUAAGCGUAGCGAUACGUUGAGCUAACCUGUACUAAUUGCCCGUGAGGCUUAACCAU